Molecule: long non-coding RNA, 557 nt
Organism: Mauremys mutica (yellowpond turtle)
Lineage: Eukaryota; Metazoa; Chordata; Testudines; Geoemydidae
Exons: 4
Source: RefSeq, a predicted model, not a curated record
ACGGCCUUAUGACGAUAUCUCUGCAUUAUACCCAGCACAGUGACUUUUUGACGGGGAGUUUCCUUAGUUUAUUCCAAAUUCCUAACGCUUCAGCUCCUCAACCCCCUGCCUUGGGGUGAAACGGAGCAAGGGCUUUUCAGUCCUGACGAACCGAGGCCCUGGCAGAAGGCAGCUGAGCAGGGGAGCCCUGGGAUGCUGGGACUGCGCGGUACCGAAGUGGGGGGUGGCAGCUUUUGCAAUGGGGGCCUCACCGGCUCAGGAGCUGAGCCCUCCCGCCCGCCGACACAUCCUGGGUCUUGGAUCACUUUCACCACCUCAAGAUGAGAGAAGCAGCUGCGUAAGUCAGGUGGAACCCUGCCUCCGAACACACAAUCCCCCAAGAGAAAGGUGUUGGUGGCAGAAACUUGAAUUAAGUAUCUGGAGCGGAUGAUGAAACAAGAAAGUCUGAACGGCUUCUGAGGUGAUCUAGGACUGGAGGAGGAGAGUAUGUCCUGCUAUGCUGUAAAGCUGACUGGCAGCCUCCCUACGGCCCCCUCCCCCCAGUGCCUCCAGCCCGC